UGGGGAAUUGUUCGCAAUGGGCGCAAGCCUGACGACGCAACGCCGCGUGGAGGAUGAAGAUCUUCGGGUCGUAAACUCCUGUCGAGCGGGAAGAAUACCUUUCGAGUGAACAGCUCGGGAGGUUGACGGUACCGCGAGAGGAAGCCCCGGCUAACUCCGUGCCAGCAGCCGCGGUAAUACGGGGGGGGCAAGCGUUGUUCGGAAUUACUGGGCGUAAAGGGCUCGUAGGCGGCCGACUAAGUCUGACGUGAAAUCCCCCGGCUCAACUGGGGAACUGCGUCCGAUACUGGUGGGCUUGAGAUCGGGAGAGGGACGUGGAAUUCCAGGUGUAGCGGUGAAAUGCGUAGAUAUCUGGAGGAACACCGGUGGCGAAGGCGGCGUCCUGGACCGACACUGACGCUGAGGAGCGAAAGCCAGGGGAGCAAACGGGAUUAGAUACCCCGGUAGUCCUGGCCCUAAACGAUGAAUGCUUGGUGUGGCGGGUAUCGAUCCCCGCCGUGCCGGAGCUAACGCAUUAAGCAUUCCGCCUGGGGAGUACGGUCGCAAGGCUG
RNAcentral lists this ribosomal RNA (551 nucleotides) under uncultured bacterium. RNAcentral describes it as "bacterial SSU rRNA". It matches the Rfam family "Bacterial small subunit ribosomal RNA", at positions 355 to 896 of the family's 1533-position model. The record is from RNAcentral.